RNAcentral lists this long non-coding RNA (211 nucleotides) under Panax ginseng (ginseng). Its description in RNAcentral is "long non-coding RNA (PGIN_LNC015578)". The record is from RNAcentral. Lineage: Eukaryota; Viridiplantae; Streptophyta; Magnoliopsida; Apiales; Araliaceae.
UUCUCCUUAAAUUACAGAGAGAUUUUCCAGAAUUGCUAAAAUUAUAGUCCUAAUAAUUGAUUGAUACUACUACUAAUUGUAGUAAAUAAAAUGAUUCUGUACAACUAAUUAACUUCCCAACGAAGAACAAUUCACAAGCUCUCAUAUAAUCCUCCUAAAUUCAUUAUUUGUCUCCAAUUAUUUUCUCUCUCUUUAUCUGGAUCAACCUACG